GCUUUAGUCACCUUUGGAGACAACAGAAGGUUGGAUGCCUUGUGGUGCAGGAACUGCUGAGCCAAUAGACCUCAAGCUGCUCCAGAGAGUCAAGGUUUCAUUUUAAAAAGGAAGAUUCAAGCUGAUCUCUCUCCUCCAUAACAUGUGGAAGUUGAAUCAUAAAGCUCUACCCUGCAGGGCAUCCAAAUGCUGAUGGUUUGAGCCACAAAGUUUAGCUCUAAACCUGCAACUGUGUUUGAUAUAGAGGGAUAAUACCUCUCAUCUUCCCAGGGAAACAGGUUUAUUUUUCUCUUCAAAAAACAAAUGUGCAUUUUUGAACAGGUAACUUCAGGACAUCAUUAAACUACAAACAUGAAAUAAAUCUCAGAGCAACUUUAGAAGCC
Dromaius novaehollandiae (emu) is the source of this 383-nucleotide long non-coding RNA. RefSeq lists it as uncharacterized. The transcript has 2 exons. The record is from RefSeq and is a predicted model, not a curated record. NCBI's taxonomy places the organism in Eukaryota, Metazoa, Chordata, Aves, Casuariiformes, Dromaiidae.